UUUGGAGCAGCAGGAUGCCAGU
This 22-nucleotide non-coding RNA is filed under the name Rattus norvegicus (Norway rat). Lineage: Eukaryota; Metazoa; Chordata; Mammalia; Rodentia; Muridae. The record is from RNAcentral.